GGCCAGACUCCUACGGGAGGCAGCAGUGGGGGAUAUUGCACAAUGGGGGGAACCCUGAUGCAGCGACGCCGCGUGGGUGAAGGAGCGUUUCGGCGCGUAAAGCCCUAUCGGCAGGGAAGAAGGAGGACGGUACCUGACUAAGAAGCCCCGGCUAACUACGUGCCAGCAGCCGCGGUAAUACGUAGGGGGCGAGCGUUAUCCGGAUUCACUGGGUGUAAAGGGAGCGUAGACGGCCAAGCAAGCCAGGGGUGAAAGCCCGGGGCCCAACCCCGGGACUGCCCUUGGAACUGCUUGGCUGGAGUGCGGGAGGGGCAGGCGGAAUUCCUAGUGUAGCGGUGAAAUGCGUAGAUAUUAGGAGGAACACCAGUGGCGAAGGCGGCUUACUGGACGGCAACUGACGCUGAGGCUCGAAAGCGUGGGGAGCAAACAGGAUUAGAUACCCCAGUAC
This 448-nucleotide ribosomal RNA is filed under the name uncultured bacterium. RNAcentral's name for it is "partial 16S ribosomal RNA". It matches the Rfam family "Bacterial small subunit ribosomal RNA", at positions 329 to 793 of the family's 1533-position model. The record is from RNAcentral.